GGCCCCGUAGCUCAAUUGGCAGAGCAAGCGACUCUUAAUCGCUAGGUUACAGGUUCGAUUCCUGUCGGGGUCA
This 73-nucleotide transfer RNA is filed under the name Anaerolineales bacterium. RNAcentral's name for it is "tRNA-Lys". It matches the Rfam family "tRNA". Rfam says of the family: Transfer RNA (tRNA) molecules are approximately 80 nucleotides in length. Their secondary structure includes four short double-helical elements and three loops (D, anti-codon, and T loops). The record is from RNAcentral. Lineage: Bacteria; Bacillati; Chloroflexota; Anaerolineae; Anaerolineales.